GCCGAACCGUACGAUCGUUGUUCGGAAUCACUGGGCUUAAAGCGUACGUAGGCGGAUUUACAAGUCAGGAGUGAAAUCCCAGGGCUUAACCCUGGAAUUGCUUUUGAAACUGUGAGUCUGGAAUCCGGUAGAGGUUGGCGGAACUCCGAGUGUAGAGGUGAAAUUCGCAGAUAUUCGGAAGAACACCAGUGGCGAAGGCGGCCAACUGGACCGGUAUUGACGCUGAGGUACGAAAGCGUGGGUAGAAAACAGG
This 253-nucleotide ribosomal RNA is filed under the name uncultured bacterium. RNAcentral's name for it is "partial 16S ribosomal RNA". It matches the Rfam family "Bacterial small subunit ribosomal RNA", at positions 524 to 776 of the family's 1533-position model. The record is from RNAcentral.